Molecule: long non-coding RNA, 399 nt
Filed under: Mytilus galloprovincialis (Mediterranean mussel)
Lineage: Eukaryota; Metazoa; Mollusca; Bivalvia; Mytilida; Mytilidae
Source: RNAcentral
CCAUUUGGAACAGGAACUUCAUUAAACCUGUGAAGGAACCAGCUGCUCCACUAGUGAUAUGAACUCCCUAAAUCUGUGGAGGAACUAUCUGCUUAGCUUUUGACUUAAAAUCCAUUAAAUCUGCAGAGAAACUAACUGCUUCACUUGUGACAUGAACUCCCUAAGAUCCGAGGAGAAACUAGAUAUUCCACUAAUGAAAUGAAUUCCCUGAAAAAUAGAAGAUUAGCUGUUCAACUGUUGACAUGAAUUUCUUUAAACCUCUGGAGGAACUAACUUCUCAACAUGCAUGUGACAUGAACUAAAACCAGGUGCUCCGCAGGGCGCAGCUUUAUACGACCGCAGAGGUCGAACCCUGAACAGUUGGGGCAAGUAUGGACAAAACAUUCAAGCGUGAUACAG